UUUGUGUAACGGUACCGUUCAACAGAGAGGCUUAGAAACUGCCGGUCGUAAAAUGGGAAUGGUUUCCACAGGAUCCUCGUGCCCCUGGGAAUGGGAGAGCAGAAAUUCCUGGCUGGUUUCCAUGACCCCAAGGACUGAACAUUCCUUGCUUGAGGAGCCUUCCCAACCCCUCCAGCAACUACAACUAAGACUGCUUGUGUCAACACAGAUUAUUCAAAAGAUGCUGUUUAAAGUUGCUGUGGGUAGAAGGCAAUGGGAGGGGAGAGGGACGGAGGAAGUGAGGGAGGAAAGAAGAGGAGAGAGAUGGAGACAGCCAACACACAAACAAAUGAGCCUACUUCAAAGAUUAUGUAGGAUCUCCUGGGGGAAUACUUAACAACAGGAGCACUAGCUCUUGCUUUGCUCCAAGAAGCAACUGGUUGAGAAAGUCCCUGAGCAGGGGACUUUUCUUUUUACCCACCAGAAGUAAAUGGUUUUGAAACAAUA
Molecule: long non-coding RNA, 486 nt
Organism: Pezoporus occidentalis (night parrot)
Lineage: Eukaryota; Metazoa; Chordata; Aves; Psittaciformes; Psittacidae
Exons: 2
Source: RefSeq, a predicted model, not a curated record